RNAcentral lists this ribosomal RNA (254 nucleotides) under uncultured bacterium. RNAcentral's name for it is "partial 16S ribosomal RNA". It matches the Rfam family "Bacterial small subunit ribosomal RNA", at positions 524 to 776 of the family's 1533-position model. The record is from RNAcentral.
UACAGAGGGGGGCGAGCGUUAUUCGGAAUUAUUGGGCGUAAAGGGCGCGUAGGCGGCUUUUCAAGUGACGGGUGAAAUCCCUCGGCUUAACCGAGGAACUGCCUGUCAGACUGGAAGGCUUGAGACCGGGAGAGGUGAGUGGAAUUCCCAGUGUAGCGGUGAAAUGCGUAGAUAUUGGGAGGAACACCAGUGGCGAAGGCGGCUCACUGGACCGGAACUGACGCUGAGGCGCGAAAGCGUGGGGAGCAAACAGG